This 301-nucleotide ribosomal RNA is filed under the name uncultured bacterium. RNAcentral describes it as "partial 16S ribosomal RNA". It matches the Rfam family "Bacterial small subunit ribosomal RNA", at positions 509 to 809 of the family's 1533-position model. The record is from RNAcentral.
CAGUCGCCGCGGGAAUACAGAGGGUGCAAGCGUUAAUCGGAAUUACUGGGCGUAAAGCGCGCGUAGGCGGUUUGUUAAGUUGGAUGUGAAAUCCCCGGGCUCAACCUGGGAACUGCAUCCAAAACUGGCAAGCUAGAGUAUGGUAGAGGGUGGUGGAAUUUCCUGUGUAGCGGUGAAAUGCGUAGAUAUAGGAAGGAACACCAGUGGCGAAGGCGACCACCUGGACUGAUACUGACACUGUGGUGCGAAAGCGUGGGGAGCAAACAGGAUUAGAUACCCGCGUAGUCCCUGUCUCUUAUAU